AUGAAGAAGGCCGUGCUUUUGUGUUUUGUCCUGUUUGCGGUUAUUUCUGUGACCACCGCUGCUCAAUGCAUAAAACAGAUGCAUGGUUCCUUUGUAUGUCGCGAUAUGAUUGAUAAUAAAGUGUACGGUACUGGAAAGACCUGGGUGAACGGCAAAUGUCAGUUUUGCAAAUGCGAGAUUGGAGCUACGUCCUGCUGUAUGGGAACAAGAGAUGCAGCUGGAAAGUGCAAACGUGAAUAGCAGCAUCGCUGGAAAAGAAAUCCAGAGAUUUACAAUGACGGAUUUGAGUUUCCAUGUUGUUCAAUUGUGAUUAAUCAAAUGAUGAGACUCCUUUUAUACAAUGUCAUGAAACAAAUAUGAUUGAUA
This is a long non-coding RNA of Tachysurus fulvidraco (yellow catfish), 366 nucleotides long. RefSeq lists it as uncharacterized. The record is from RefSeq and is a predicted model, not a curated record. The transcript is spliced from 3 exons. NCBI's taxonomy places the organism in Eukaryota, Metazoa, Chordata, Actinopteri, Siluriformes, Bagridae.